This 253-nucleotide ribosomal RNA is filed under the name uncultured bacterium. Its description in RNAcentral is "partial 16S ribosomal RNA". It matches the Rfam family "Bacterial small subunit ribosomal RNA", at positions 524 to 776 of the family's 1533-position model. The record is from RNAcentral.
UACGUAGGGGGCUAGCGUUGUCCGGAAUCAUUGGGCGUAAAGCGCGUGUAGGCGGUCCGGUAAGUCCGCUGUGAAAGUCGGGGGCUCAACCCUCGGAUGCCGGUGGAUACUGUCGGGCUUGAGUACGGAAGAGGCGAGUGGAAUUCCUGGUGUAGCGGUGAAAUGCGCAGAUGUCAGGAGGAACACCAAUUGCGAAGGCAGCUCGCUGGGACGUUACUGACGCUGAGACGCGAAAGCGUGGGGAGCAAACAGG